UUUCCUGAGCCCCCAUGCUGUUGCCAGGGAAGGAUCAGGACUAGCAGAGCUUGAGCUCUGUGCACAAGCCACACAAAACCCCUCUGCAUCCCUCGCCACCGAAUCGGCUCAGGGAGAGAAGUUACUGAGCGCCGAUGAAAACAGAGGACCCCGAGCUCCCCUCCUCUGGCAAACCAACCACAAUAACUUCGCCUCAGCCACGGGGAUAUUCGGAAAUCGUUUGCAAGGAGCUCUAUAGAAAAUAGACGAUGGAGUGGGUGCAGCUUUCAAUAUAUUUGCUCUAGGAUAUAGUAACAGGCACUAAAGCAAACACGGGCAGGGGAAUUAGGGCGGGAGCUUCUGCUUCGCUCGUUUUAAAUUACAAAGUGCCGAGACAGCCAGGUCUAGCUACAUUCUAGAGUCAAAGGGCUGCCCCCGUGUGCCCCGGGGAACAUGCACGCAGCCGGCGGAGGCGUUUCCUACAGCUGCAUCGCCUUGUGCCUAGAACGAGCUGGAAAUGUCACUGAACAAAACUAAAUGGAUAAACGGGCUCGGAAAAGCACGUCGCUUCCCGGGGAGACCAGCUGGCCAAUGCGUUCUCCUCUUUGCAGCGAAAAGAAAACAAAACAAAAAGAAAUCAAGUUAAACUUCGCACCUGUCAAAUAGAAAUCUAAUAGGAAAGAGAGCUGUACAUGAUCAAAGUGAAGUCCAGGCUCCAGGAACGUCCAGGAGGACAGUUUCAGGGAAAAAGGGAGACUCCUGAGGCGGGUGUUGACAUUGGAGGCAGAAUUGGAGCCAUGGAAGAGCUGGGGGAUGGAGCAAGGGGCUGCAAGUGGCUCUGGGCACAGAGCUCAUCCUGCACCAAACCCGGAGAGCACAGAUGGAGUCUUGGAGAAGAAAGAGCUAAUCCCGAGUGACCUGACAUCAUCCCCAGCAUGGAGAGCAAGGUGUUGAGCCGGG
RNAcentral lists this long non-coding RNA (939 nucleotides) under Parus major (Great Tit). Its description in RNAcentral is "lncRNA (ENSPMJG00000001727.1)". Lineage: Eukaryota; Metazoa; Chordata; Aves; Passeriformes; Paridae. The record is from RNAcentral.